CGGGACGUAGGGGAGUUAGGAGUCCCCGCGUGGCCUGGGACCACGAGAGCGGCGGUUCGAAUCCGCCCGUCCCGA
RNAcentral lists this transfer RNA (75 nucleotides) under Chloroflexota bacterium. RNAcentral describes it as "Chloroflexi bacterium (cold seep metagenome) tRNA-Pro". It matches the Rfam family "tRNA". From Rfam's summary of the family: Transfer RNA (tRNA) molecules are approximately 80 nucleotides in length. Lineage: Bacteria; Bacillati; Chloroflexota. RNAcentral also lists the same sequence under 1 other name. The record is from RNAcentral.